AGGGCUGAUAUCUGCUAACCACCUUUCUAAAAGAUUACAAGCAUGUCUGCAUCUGAGCCCAAGGAGCCAGCCCUGGGAGGCCUCUCUGUUCAAGCAGCAUGUGAGUCCUCUUCUAGGGCUGCAGACCUAACCGGGUGCCUGAGCACAGGCUGGGAUCUAGAGAGAAGUCCACAUGAAGGUGACAAAUGGAACAGCUGCCAAAUGGGGGCACUUUCCAAGUUGUUAUGCCAGAUCUACUGAAAAUAUUCCGCCCCUGUGACUGAACCUGUAAAGGAAAGGAAUUAAAUCCAAAUGUAUCACAGUAUCACCAAGGUUGGAAGAGACCUCACAGAUCAUCAAGUCCAACCCUUUACCACAGCGCUCAAGGCUAGACCAUGGCACCAAGUGCCACGUCCAAUCCUGCCUUGAACAGCUCCAGGCACGGCGACUCCACCACCUCCCCGGGCAGCUGUGUAUAUUCAACUCAGAUGAAAUCAUAGGAAGUUCCACCAGAACAUGAGGAAGAAUCUUCUUUACUUUGAGGGUGAUGACACACCAGAAAAGGCUGCCCAUAGAGAUUGUAGUCUCCUCCUCUGAAGACUUUCAAAACCUGUCUGGGCAUGAUCCUGUGCAACCUGAUCAAGGUGGACAUGCAUUAGCAGGGCUUUGGACUUGAUCCCCAGAGGUCCCUUUCAAACCUGUAAUAUUCUGGGAAUCCUUGUGAAGUCCUGUAUGUGACAAAUAUAUGUUUGAUCCCAUCAAUUCAUGGCAAGAGGCCACAGACAGGGAGGAAGGGGGGUUUUGAGUGGAGCUGCACUCCUUGCACAGCCAUCACAAGAGUAUACACUUGGCUUAAAGUAACAGCAAUAAAUAAUUAGAAACUAGAAAGGUUGGUGGAGGAGGAAGGCAGGUGGAAGAGACAGCCUUUGCACAUGAGCAAACAGAGGAAGAGUCAUACAAAGGACACUACUAGUUUGGAGUUCAUACAAAGGACACUUGAGGAAGUGUAUGGACACUUGAGGAAGACCCCUUACUUCAUCACUGAAAGACCACCAGAGGGACCACUGGAUAAAAAGAGACAUUCGUGGAAGAGACACCUCCCAUUCUUAGAACUGAUAAGGCAAACCCAACCUUUUCUUAGAGUUAGUAAUGAAUAUGUAAUAGGAUAGGAUAUAAAAAGAGAAAACUGAAAACAAAAGGUGUGCAUUAGGGUAGAGCAGAGCCUCCCCACGCACCCAGGCCUGUACAUUGCUUGAUU
Pogoniulus pusillus (Red-fronted tinkerbird) is the source of this 1237-nucleotide long non-coding RNA. RefSeq lists it as uncharacterized. The record is from RefSeq and is a predicted model, not a curated record. Lineage: Eukaryota; Metazoa; Chordata; Aves; Piciformes; Lybiidae. The transcript has 3 exons.